This 204-nucleotide ribosomal RNA is filed under the name Triticum aestivum (bread wheat). Its description in RNAcentral is "partial small subunit ribosomal RNA". Lineage: Eukaryota; Viridiplantae; Streptophyta; Magnoliopsida; Poales; Poaceae. The record is from RNAcentral.
AUGGAGAUGCUUUCCUUGAUGAUUGGCGAGUUGCUCUCGGAAGAGAAGUCAGAGUUCAGUGGGCAGACCUUCGGAGAGUACCUUCGAGCUGGUGUCCCUUCGAUCGCCCCCAUUUCCCAGCUUGGUUGCGGGCUACACGAUAAAUCUCUGGCUAGUUUACACCUAGGAAGGAUUCUGAAAGAUAUGGCUGAUGAUGCCAUCUAA